This 497-nucleotide ribosomal RNA is filed under the name uncultured bacterium. RNAcentral describes it as "partial 16S ribosomal RNA". It matches the Rfam family "Bacterial small subunit ribosomal RNA", at positions 28 to 507 of the family's 1533-position model. The record is from RNAcentral.
GAUGAACGCUGGCGGCGUGCCUAAUACAUGCAAGUCGAGCGAACAGACGAGGAGCUUGCUCCUCUGACGUUAGCGGCGGACGGGUGAGUCACACGUGGAUAACCUAUCUAUAAGACUGGGAUAACUUCGGGAAACCGGAGCUAAUACCGGAUAAUAUAUUGAACCGCAUGGUUCAAUAGUGAAAGACGGUUUUGCUGUUACUUAUAGAUGGUUCCGCGCCGCAUUAGCUGGUUGGUAAGGUAACGGCUUACCAAGGCAACGAUGCGUAGCCGACCUGAGAGGGGGAUCGGCCACACUGGACCGGGAACACGGUCCAGACUCCUACGGGAGGCAGCAGUAGGGAAUCUUCCGCAAGGAGCGAAAGCCUGACGGGGCAACGCCGCGGAGGUGAUGAAGGUCUUCGGAUCGAAAAACUCUUUUAUUAGGGAAGAACAAAUGGGUAAGUAACUAUGCACGUCUUGACGGUACCUAAUCAGAAAGCCACGGCUAACUACGUG